GAAACGAUAUUAAAGUUCUUCUAUAAAAAGAAAUAUUCUCCCUACCAGGUCCUUUCGUACUAAGGCAAGGUCAACUAAACUGGAAGAUAGAAACCAACCUGGCUCACACCGGUUUGAACUCAAAUCAUGUAAGAUUUUAAAGGUCGAACAGACCCACUCAUUAAGCUGCUACACUUAAAAGAAACCUUAAUUCAACAUCGAGGUCGCAACUACUCCCGUCGAUAAGAACUCUCAGGGAAAAUUACGCUGUUAUCCCUAAAGUAACUUAAUCUUUUAAUCUCUAAUAAAGGAUCAACUAAACUAAUUAUACUUAUUCUAAUUAAAUGACAGUUACUAAUUUUUAUCUUUGCCGCCCCAACAAAACAAAUAAGAACUUAUAGAAAUUAAACCUUAAUUUAAAAAAAAAUCCUAAUUUUGUAAAAUUUUAUAGGGUCUUAUCGUCAUGUSAUAUCAUUUAAGCCUUUUCACUUAAAAGUAAAAUUCAAAAAUUGUAAAAAAGACAGCUUCCCCCUUGUCCGACCCUUCAUUCCAGCCUCCAAUUAAAAGACUACUGAUUAUGCUACCUUCGCACGGUCAAAUUACCGCGGCCCUUAAAAAUAUCAGUGGGCAGGCCAGACUCUAUAUAAUUUAAACAUACAGACAUGUUUUUGAUAAACAGGCAGAGGCAAUAUUUGCCGAGUUCCUUUUUUAUAACUCAUAUAAAAUAAAAAUUUAAUUUUAUUUUAAAUCAUUUUUUCACAAAUUUUAUAUACUAAUACAAACAAUAUAAUUAACAACAAUUAACUAACAAUUAUUUUUUCCUAAUUAAGAGCAAAAUAAUAAAAAUAUAAUAAUACUGAAUCUUAACUAAAACGCUUUAUUAACAUGGAUGUUUUUAUSCCADGUUUAAUAACUUAAAAUUCUAAUUUUAACUCCUCCUUAUAUAAGAAGCUCAUGCSUCCUACACUAAAAAAGUAAUAUUAUAAUAAUUACCCUAAAAAUUGAACUUUUUUCAAAAUAAACUUAACUUAACUUAACUUAACUAAAUUAAACUACUUAACCUAACUUAACUUAACUUAACUACUAACUUAACUUAACUUAACUUAACUUAACUUAACUAACUUAACUUAACUUAACUUAACUUAACUUAACUUAACUUAACCUAACUUAACUUAACCUAAAUUAAACUUUAUCUUAAUACUUAACCUAACUUAACUUAACUUUACUUCUAAACUAUUAUUAACUUAAAAUAUUCUAUCACAAUACUAAUUAAAAACUAAAUAUCAAUUAUUUAUAAAAUAUAACCCCAAACUUAAAACAAAAAUAAGUUUUAUUUU
This 1316-nucleotide ribosomal RNA is filed under the name Pandalus hypsinotus. Its description in RNAcentral is "16S ribosomal RNA". The record is from RNAcentral. Lineage: Eukaryota; Metazoa; Arthropoda; Malacostraca; Decapoda; Pandalidae.